Molecule: ribosomal RNA, 497 nt
Filed under: uncultured bacterium
Lineage: Bacteria
Description: partial 16S ribosomal RNA
Rfam family: Bacterial small subunit ribosomal RNA
Source: RNAcentral
GAUGAACGCUGGCGGCGUGCCUAAUACAUGCAAGUCGAGCGAACAGAUGAGGAGCUUGCUCCUCUGACGUUAGCGGCGGACGGGUGAGUAACACGUGGAUAACCUACCUAUAAGACUGGGAUAACUACGGGAAACCGGAGCUAAUACCGGAUAAUAUAUUGAACCGCAUGGUUCAAUAGUGAAAGACGGUUUUGCUGUCACUUAUAGAUGGAUCCGCGCCGCAUUAGCUAGUUGGUAAGGUAACGGCUUACCAAGGCAACGAUGCGUAGCCGACCUGAGAGGGUGAUCGGCCACACUGGAACUGAGACACGGUCCAGACUCCUACGGGAGGCAGCAGUAGGGAAUCUUCCGCAAUGGGCGAAAGCCUGACGGAGCAACGCCGCGUGAGUGAUGAAGGCCUUCGGAUCGUAAAACUCUGUUAUUAGGGAAGAACAAAUGUGUAAGUAACUAUGCACGUCUUGACGGUACCUAACCAGAAAGCCACGGCUAACUACGUG